This 465-nucleotide ribosomal RNA is filed under the name Vreelandella stevensii. RNAcentral describes it as "partial 16S ribosomal RNA". It matches the Rfam family "Bacterial small subunit ribosomal RNA", at positions 338 to 795 of the family's 1533-position model. The record is from RNAcentral. Lineage: Bacteria; Pseudomonadati; Pseudomonadota; Gammaproteobacteria; Oceanospirillales; Halomonadaceae.
CCUACGGGUGGCAGCAGUGGGGAAUAUUGGACAAUGGGGGCAACCCUGAUCCAGCCAUGCCGCGUGUGUGAAGAAGGCCCUCGGGUUGUAAAGCACUUUCAGUGAGGAAGAACGCCUGGUGGUUAAUACCCAUCAGGAAAGACAUCACUCACAGAAGAAGCACCGGCUAACUCCGUGCCAGCAGCCGCGGUAAUACGGAGGGUGCGAGCGUUAAUCGGAAUUACUGGGCGUAAAGCGCGCGUAGGUGGCUUGAUAAGCCGGUUGUGAAAGCCCCGGGCUCAACCUGGGAACGGCAUCCGGAACUGUCAAGCUAGAGUGCAGGAGAGGAAGGUAGAAUUCCCGGUGUAGCGGUGAAAUGCGUAGAGAUCGGGAGGAAUAACAGUGGCGAAGGCGGCCUUCUGGACUGACACUGACACUGAGGUGCGAAAGCGUGGGUAGCAAACAGGAUUAGAUACCCUAGUAGUC